This 436-nucleotide unclassified non-coding RNA is filed under the name uncultured Chytridiomycota. RNAcentral describes it as "sequence contains ITS2". The stretch from base 1 to 141 matches the Rfam family "5.8S ribosomal RNA". The record is from RNAcentral. Lineage: Eukaryota; Fungi; Chytridiomycota.
AACUUUUGACAAUGGAUCUCUUGGCUCUCGCAACGAUGAAGAACGCAGCGAAAUGCGAUACGUAAUGUGAAUUGCUUUCCGUGAAUCAUCAAAUCUUUGAACGCACAUUGCACUCUUUGGAGUAUGCUUGUUUGAGAAUCUAUAUAAUCUAUUCGCUUUGUCUGAGAGUCUUAGUGACAGUCUGACAGAGGGAGAAAUGAUUUUCCCCAAUCACGUGGGUGUCACGAACAUGUGACGUCCACCCACUUGGGGUUUAUCAAAAGUUAUUCCACCUCGUCUUUGCUGAUGACCAGGGAAAUGUAUGUGAGUCUCUGACCAGAGAAUCACAAUGCCUACUACCAGGGCCAGACCAGGGACGACACAGGACGACAACACUCAAGAUCUCAAAUCAAGUAGGAGGACCCGCUGAACUUAAGCAUAUCAAUAAGCGGAGGCU